This is a non-coding RNA of Heterocephalus glaber (naked mole-rat), 1835 nucleotides long. NCBI's taxonomy places the organism in Eukaryota, Metazoa, Chordata, Mammalia, Rodentia, Bathyergidae. The record is from RefSeq and is a predicted model, not a curated record.
UAUACAUUUUGGUCCUUAUUUAUACUUUUGGUGUUUCACACCACAGAAACAACAUGGUAUUUAAACAUGUGUGUCCAAUUUAUUUUACUUAAGAGUAUGGUCCCAAGGUGCAUCCAUUUAGCUAAAUAUGUCUAGAGCUUAUCCCUCUUUAUGACAGAGUAGAACUCCAUUGGGUAAAAAAGCCCACAUCUUCUUUAUCCAUUCAUUGGUUGAUUUUCUCUACUUCUGACUUCAAGAGAAAUGAUGGGCAGUAUCCACAUCACUAAUACAUAAACUCUGUGCCUGACACUGGAGACCACUGUCCUCCCCAGGAGUAGACAAACUGCCCUCCACCAGGGUUGGCUCUGUGCAUGAGGACCAGUCCUGGCGCCACACACAGUAGCCACUUAAUAAAUGCUGCUUGAGUUGCUAGCAAAUACAGCAUGGAUUAGAAAAUUUUCUAUCUUGUUUACCAGCAUGAGCUGUAGAAGGAACCCAAGAGGGCAGCUAUGUCCUCCUACAGGACCCACCCAUAGGUGGGUUUGCAUAAGUUUCCAACAAGGUGCAAAGGGAGAUACGGUUUGAUGCCCUCAUCUCCCCGAGUCAAGUAUCGCAAAUGACAUUCUAUCUGACUGGACUUGAGAGACCAAGUGCAUAGGCAGACCUGGGUUCCCAUCCCUCUGCACCCACAUCUGUCCAGCUAUGGCCCCUGGGUGCUAGACUCUGCCUCUUUGAACUUUGGUGUCCUCUUCAAUAAUCGAGAGUUGGACCUUCAAAGGUUGCUAAACAGACUGAAGGUUGUGUGUGUGUGUAUUUUAUAGCAUCUGGCCUCAGAUAAACAUGUAAAAAUUAUAGUAGUCCUUGUGAUUUCUGUUCCUUCUUUUUCCCACAUGAGGAAACUGAAGCUCUGAGGGGCAAUGGAAUGGGCUCCACGUCUCAGAGGCACUAAGCUGUGGAUGUGAACCUGUCUGACCCCACUGUCCAGCUGUCCUUUUCUCCUGUGACCUACCAACUGCUCAACCCAUCUGAAGACUCAGGGACUUUGACUGGUUCUCUCUAAAAGAAGGAAAUAUUUCAGAGACUACAUAGCCCUUCUCUGAUGUGGACCUGGAUGUUUAACAGUGAAAGUUUGAAUACUGCAAUCUUGUGAUAUACAUUGAGAUACACAGGCCUUAGGGAGAUGCUUUGGAAAACAUGUUGGCAACAUGAGGUCACGGAACAUGCUGGAAGCAGCGCUGGGCGCACCCCCCUGGGACUCACCCGUGACUCGCCUUCUCCUCUCCACUCAAGCCUGUUUGGGAAGAGUUCUAAUUAAAGGAAUACAUUCAGCAGUCAUUAGAAGACAUAUUUUUCCUGGGCUAUUCUGUCAGGAUCCUAGGACCAUCACGGCAAAUGACUGCUGGUUCAAGUUCCCUGGGACAUCUGUCAUGGCAAGCACACACGAGUGUGACCUCAAGGACAGGUACUCUGAAGAGCAGCUCACACACAAAGGCUGUGUCCCCUGGAGAACCGAGGUGGGGGACAGUUAAAGGUGUGCAGCACUCCCUUGUUAUAUUCUGGCAGCAACCAUAUAAGGAGUAAGUCACCCAGUACUGAAGCCCUGGUUCUAGGUAGACAAUAAAUGCUCCUGGGAGUGUCAAAGAGGACCAGACACUCCUACACCAAGAAGCUUCCAUCAAAGUAACCUUUAAUACAAUGAAAAUGUCUUUGGUCCUUCUUAUGCAUAUGUGAUCUCACCUGUGCAGGUCUUAGCUGAGAGAGAAAAUGAAAUGACAUUUUACCUUAAUCAUCAACUAUAAUAAAUUUAAAUGUCUUACAAAAAUAAGUAAAUCUUAGACAAACCAAGAGUAACAAUA